Molecule: long non-coding RNA, 536 nt
Filed under: Macaca nemestrina (pig-tailed macaque)
Lineage: Eukaryota; Metazoa; Chordata; Mammalia; Primates; Cercopithecidae
Description: lncRNA (ENSMNEG00000045933.1)
Source: RNAcentral
AUGGUAGGUGGAGCAGGUGAUACAAUCUUUAUUUUACAGGUAAAUAUUACAGAGCUCAGAGAACUGAGGAACCUACCCAAGGUUGCCCAGCUAGCCAGUGGUAGAGACACUUCGACCGCUGGCUUUCUGACAGCAAGCACCUCUUUUGGCAGCAGAUGGCGGAGGGAUUUCAAGACCCCAGUUGGAGCCAAAGUUGGUGAAGGACAAGGAGACCCAGUUUUCAAGAACGUGAAGCACUGUAGUACAAAAGCCUGCCUAGGGACACCAGCACCUAACCCAAUAUGCUUUAACAAAUGAGUAAAGGAAGAAUGCCAAGAUUUCCAGCCUGCAAAGCUUUGCCUCUGGGGAAUCUAUGGCCUUCUUGCAAGGGAUCUUCUAGUUUAUAAGCUCACCAACAUAAUUUGAGAUCCAGUGAAAAUGCUAUUUUCACCAUAUGUAUAUGCCACCAUUUUCAAGUGUAUGUAGAUUGGUUGUGACUAAUAAAAUACAAUAAACAAAUUAUAAAUUUAUCAUUUGUAUAUGUAUUAAUAAAAUAC